CAUCGAGCUAAUGAUUCAUUGGACAUUCUAAUCUGUCUCAUGUUUUUUGAUCAAGCCUAUUGUCUUCCUGCCAGUUAAGGCAGAAGAUAAAACAGAGAGGAUAAGACAGAUAAGGGAAAAUCUUCUUGCCUUCAGUGAGUCUCCUGGAAAGUCAUCUUUACAUAUUUGGAGUAAACAUCAAGUUCUGAAGGAGAUAGGACACUAUAAUGCUCUAACAUCAGAUAAAUAAAAGAGCAGAAGCCAGUUCUAGGAAUAAAAUCUUCGGCUGACCAGAAAGACAGGUUAGUAACUACUCUCUUCUUCAAUCGCUCCGCACAACUGGCCUUUACUGUU
Molecule: long non-coding RNA, 333 nt
Filed under: Chinchilla lanigera (long-tailed chinchilla)
Lineage: Eukaryota; Metazoa; Chordata; Mammalia; Rodentia; Chinchillidae
Description: lncRNA (ENSCLAG00000022280.1)
Source: RNAcentral